This 449-nucleotide ribosomal RNA is filed under the name uncultured bacterium. RNAcentral's name for it is "partial 16S ribosomal RNA". It matches the Rfam family "Bacterial small subunit ribosomal RNA", at positions 29 to 523 of the family's 1533-position model. The record is from RNAcentral.
AACGAACGCUGGCGGCAUGCCUAAUACAUGCAAGUCGAACGAUAUCUUCGGAUCUAGUGGCGCACGGGUGCGUAACGCGUGGGAAUCUGCCCUUGGGUUCGGAAUAACGUCGGGAAACUGACGCUAAUACCGGAUGAUGACGUAAGUCCAAAGAUUUAUCGCCCAAGGAUGAGCCCGCGUAGGAUUAGCUAGUUGGUGAGGUAAAGGCUAACCAAGGCUACGAUCCUUAGCUGGUCUGAGAAGAUGCUCAGCCACACUGGAGCUGAGACACGGCCCAGACGCCUACGGGAGGCAGCAGUAGGGAAUAUUGGAAUAUGGGGUCAACCCUGAACCAGCACUGCCGCGUGAGUGAUGAAGGCCUUAGGGUUGUAAAGCUCUUUUACCCGGGAUGAUAAUGACAGUACCGGGAGAAUAAGCCCCGGCUAACUCCGUGCCAGCCGCCGCCGUAA